This 545-nucleotide long non-coding RNA is filed under the name Lonchura striata (white-rumped munia). Its description in RNAcentral is "domestica (Bengalese finch) lncRNA (ENSLSDG00000004669.1)". The record is from RNAcentral. Lineage: Eukaryota; Metazoa; Chordata; Aves; Passeriformes; Estrildidae.
GUUUAGCAAGGCAGAAGGAGCCCCCAAAAAGGUGGAUCCCCCAUAGUGGGGGGGGGGUCUGUGAUGCUGGGGGGGUUUUGGGGUGCCCUGACCCCCCCAUUUUCACCCAGGGGUGAAGGUGAUCCUGGACCUGACCCCAAACCCCGCCGGGAAUCCGGUGUGGGGGGACGCAGCCCAAGACUCUGAGGUGCACCAGCAGGUCCAGGUGGGUCUGGGGGGGCUGUGGGGUGGGGGUGGGGGGCUUGGGGGUGUGGGGGACCCCCCUGAACCCCCCCUGUGCCCCCCCAGGCCGCCCUGAGCCAUUGGCUGAAGGAGGACAUUGCUGGGAUCUUCCUGGAUGGCAUCGAGGAGCUCCCGAACUUGGUGGUGGCCCAGUGGAGGAACCUGACGGAGCAGCAGCCGAGCCCCAGCGGUGUGGACAGGGUGCUGGUGGGGGGCACACGCCUGCAGGACCCCUGGGAGGUGCCGCGGGGCCCGGGGAUGCCGCAGCUGCUGCUGGGACCCUUCCUGCAGCCCCUGGAGCCCAAGGGCGACUCCAAGGCCCC